AUACGUAGGGGGCGAGCGUUGUCCGGAAUGAUUGGGCGUAAAGGGCGCGUAGGCGGCCCGGUAAGUCUGGAGUGAAAGUCCUGUUUUUAAGAUGGGAAUUGCUUUGGAUACUGUCGGGCUUGAGUGCAGGAGAGGUAAGUGGAAUUCCCAGUGUAGCGGUGAAAUGCGUAGAGAUUGGGAGGAACACCAGUGGCGAAGGCGACUUACUGGACUGUAACUGACGCUGAGGCGCGAAAGUGUGGGGAGCAAACAGGAUUAGAUACCCUGGUAGUCCACACUGUAAACGAUGAAUGCUAGGUGUAAGAGGUAUCGACCCCUUUUGUGCCGGAGUCAACACAAUAAGCAUUCCGCCUGGGGAGUACGGCCGCAAGGUUGAAACUCAAAGGAAUUGACGUGG
Molecule: ribosomal RNA, 397 nt
Filed under: uncultured bacterium
Lineage: Bacteria
Description: partial 16S ribosomal RNA
Rfam family: Bacterial small subunit ribosomal RNA
Source: RNAcentral